AAUAGAUACCCGGGUAGUCCACGCCGUAAACGAUGAGUGCUAAGUGUUAGAGGGUUUCCGCCCUUUAGUGCUGUAGCUAACGCAUUAAGCACUCCGCCUGGGGAGUACGGUCGCAAGACUGAAACUCAAAGGAAUUGACGGGGGCCCGCACAAGCGGUGGAGCAUGUGGUUUAAUUCGAAGCAACGCGAAGAACCUUACCAGGUCUUGACAUCCUCUGACAACUCUAGAGAUAGAGCGUUCCCCUUCGGGGGACAGAGUGACAGGUGGUGCAUGGUUGUCGUCAGCUCGUGUCGUGAGAUGUUGGGUUAAGUCCCGCAACGAGCGCAACCCUUGAUCUUAGUUGCCAGCAUUCAGUUGGGCACUCUAAGGUGACUGCCGGUGACAAACCGGAGGAAGGUGGGGAUGACGUCAAAUCAUCAUGCCCCUUAUGACCUGGGCUACACACGUGCUACAAUGGAUGGUACAAAGGGCUGCAAGACCGCGAGGUCAAGCCAAUCCCAUAAAACCAUUCUCAGUUCGGA
Molecule: ribosomal RNA, 522 nt
Filed under: uncultured bacterium
Lineage: Bacteria
Description: bacterial SSU rRNA
Rfam family: Bacterial small subunit ribosomal RNA
Source: RNAcentral